This 1178-nucleotide ribosomal RNA is filed under the name Treponema sp. oral taxon 518. RNAcentral's name for it is "bacterial SSU rRNA". It matches the Rfam family "Bacterial small subunit ribosomal RNA", at positions 28 to 1197 of the family's 1533-position model. Lineage: Bacteria; Pseudomonadati; Spirochaetota; Spirochaetia; Treponematales; Treponemataceae. The record is from RNAcentral.
AACGAACGCUGGCGGUGCGUUUUAAGCAUGCAAGUCGAACGGCAGGAAGGUGCUUGCACUUUCCUAGAGUGGCGGACUGGUGAGUAACGCGUAGGUGAUCUACCUUUAAGACUGGGACAGCCUUUAGAAAUAAGGGGUAAUACCGGAUGUGCUUAUUAUGUUUUGACGUAGUAAGGGAAGGAGCGUUUGCUCCGCUUAGAGAUGAGCCUGCGUCCCAUUAGCUAGUUGGUGAGGUAACGGCCUACCAAGGCGAUGAUGGGUAUCCGACCUGAGAGGGUGAUCGGACACAUUGGGACUGAGAUACGGCCCAAACUCCUACGGGAGGCAGCAGCUGAGAAUCUUCCGCAAUGGACGAAAGUCUGACGGAGCGACACCGCGUGAAUGAUGAAGGCCGAAAGGUUGUAAAGUUCUUUUGCAGACAAAGAAUAAGGAUAGAAGGAAAUGUCUAUUUGAUGACGGUAGUUAUGCGAAUAAGCCCCGGCUAAUUACGUGCCAGCAGCCGCGGUAAUACGUAAGGGGCGAGCGUUGUUCGGAAUUAUUGGGCGUAAAGGGCAUGUAGGCGGUUGGGUAAGCCUGAUGUGAAAUCUACGAGCUUAACUCGUAAACUGCAUUGGGUACUGCUCAUCUUGAAUCAUAGAGGGGGAACUGGAAUUCCAAGUGUAGGGGUGGAAUCUGUAGAUAUUUGGAAGAACACCGGUGGCGAAGGUGGGUUCCUAGCUAAUGAUUGACGCUGAUGUGCGAAGGUGCGGGGAGCAAACAGGAUUAGAUACCCUGGUAGUCCGCACAGUAAACGAUGUACACUAGGUGUUGGGGUAAAACUCAGUGCCGGCGCAAACGCAAUAAGUGUACCGCCUGGGGAGUAUGCCCGCAAGGGUGAAACUCAAAGGAAUUGACGGGGGCCCACACAAGCGGUGGAGCAUGUGGUUUAAUUCGAUGAUACGCGAGGAACCUACCUGGGUUUGACAUCAAGAGGGAUACUAUAGAGAUAUGGUAGCGUAGCAUACGUCUCUGGACAGGUGCUGCAUGGGCUGUCGUCAGCUCGUGCCGUGAGGUGUUUGGGUUAAGUCCGCAACGAGCGCAACCCCUACUGCCAGUUACUACAGGGUAUGCUGAGGACCUCUGGCGAAACUGCCCGGUAAUUACCCGAGGAAGGGUGGGGAAUACGUCUAGUUAUCAUG